GGGUUGUGAGGUUAAGCGACUAAGCGUACACGGUGGAUGCCCUGGCAGUCAGAGGCGAUGAAGGGCGUGCUAAUCUGCGAUAAGCGCCGGUAAGGUGAUAUGAACCGUUAUAACCGGCGAUACCCGAAUGGGGAAACCCAGUGUGACUCGUCACACUAUCAUUAACUGAAUCCAUAGGUUAAUGAGGCGAACCGGGGGAACUGAAACAUCUAAGUACCCCGAGGAAAAGAAAUCAACCGAGAUUCCCCCAGUAGCGGCGAGCGAACGGGGAGGAGCCCAGAGCCUGAAUCAGCAUGUGUGUUAGUGGAAGCGUCUGGAAAGGCGCGCGAUACAGGGUGACAGCCCCGUACACAAAAGCGCAUGUGCUGUGAGCUCGAUGAGUAGGGCGGGACACGUGGUAUCCUGUCUGAAUAUGGGGGGACCAUCCUCCAAGGCUAAAUACUCCUGACUGACCGAUAGUGAACCAGUACCGUGAGGGAAAGGCGAAAAGAACCCCGGCGAGGGGAGUGAAAAAGAACCUGAAACCGUGUACGUACAAGCAGUGGGAGCCCCACCACUAAGCCAGUGGUGAACUCCACAUCCGCAUCCUUUGCUGAGGAUACGGUUAACGGAGCGAAAGCGACGUUCAACCGCAAAACAAGCAGAGGGGGCUUAGUGGUGGGGUGACUGCGUACCUUUUGUAUAAUGGGUCAGCGACUUAUAUUCUGUAGCAAGGUUAACCGAAUAGGGGAGCCGGAGGGAAACCGAGUCUUAAUUGGGCGUUAAGUUGCAGGGUAUAGACCCGAAACCCGGUGAUCUAGCCAUGGGCAGGUUGAAGGUUGGGUAACACUAACUGGAGGACCGAACCGACUAAUGUUGAAAAAUUAGCGGAUGACCUGUGGCUGGGGGUGAAAGGCCAAUCAAACCGGGAGAUAGCUGGUUCUCCCCGAAAGCUAUUUAGGUAGCGCCUCGUGAAUUCAUCUCCGGGGGUAGAGCACUGUUUCGGCUAGGGGGCCAUCCCGGCUUACCAACCCGAUGCAAACUGCGAAUACCGGAGAAUGUUAUCACGGGAGACACACGGCGGGUGCUAACGUCCGUCGUGAAGAGGGAAACAACCCAGACCGCCAGCUAAGGUCCCAAAGUCAUGGUUAAGUGGGAAACGAUGUGGGAAGGCCCAGACAGCCAGGAUGUUGGCUUAGAAGCAGCCAUCAUUUAAAGAAAGCGUAAUAGCUCACUGGUCGAGUCGGCCUGCGCGGAAGAUGUAACGGGGCUAAACCAUGCACCGAAGCUGCGGCAGCGACGCUGAUGCGUUGUUGGGUAGGGGAGCGUUCUGUAAGCCUGCGAAGGUGACCUGUGAGGGUUGCUGGAGGUAUCAGAAGUGCGAAUGCUGACAUAAGUAACGAUAAAGCGGGUGAAAAGCCCGCUCGCCGGAAGACCAAGGGUUCCUGUCCAACGUUAAUCGGGGCAGGGUGAGUCGACCCCUAAGGCGAGGCCGAAAGGCGUAGUUGAUGGGAAACGGGUUAAUAUUCCCGUACUUGGUGUUACUGCGAAGGGGGGACGGAGAAGGCUAUGUUGGCCGGGCGACGGUUGUCCCGGUUUAAGCGUGUAGGUGUGUGUUCCAGGUAAAUCCGGUUCACUUUAACACUGAGGCGUGAUGACGAGGCACUACGGUGCUGAAGCAACAAAUGCCCUGCUUCCAGGAAAAGCCUCUAAGCAUCAGGUAACAUCAAAUCGUACCCCAAACCGACACAGGUGGUCAGGUAGAGAAUACCAAGGCGCUUGAGAGAACUCGGGUGAAGGAACUAGGCAAAAUGGUGCCGUAACUUCGGGAGAAGGCACGCUGACACGUAGGUGAAGUGAUUUACUCAUGGAGCUGAAGUCAGUCGAAGAUACCAGCUGGCUGCAACUGUUUAUUAAAAACACAGCACUGUGCAAACACGAAAGUGGACGUAUACGGUGUGACGCCUGCCCGGUGCCGGAAGGUUAAUUGAUGGGGUCAGCGCAAGCGAAGCUCCUGAUCGAAGCCCCGGUAAACGGCGGCCGUAACUAUAACGGUCCUAAGGUAGCGAAAUUCCUUGUCGGGUAAGUUCCGACCUGCACGAAUGGCGUAAUGAUGGCCAGGCUGUCUCCACCCGAGACUCAGUGAAAUUGAACUCGCUGUGAAGAUGCAGUGUACCCGCGGCAAGACGGAAAGACCCCGUGAACCUUUACUAUAGCUUGACACUGAACAUUGAGCCUUGAUGUGUAGGAUAGGUGGGAGGCUUUGAAGUGUGGACGCCAGUCUGCAUGGAGCCGACCUUGAAAUACCACCCUUUAAUGUUUGAUGUUCUAACGUGGACCCGUAAUCCGGGUUGCGGACAGUGUCUGGUGGGUAGUUUGACUGGGGCGGUCUCCUCCUAAAGAGUAACGGAGGAGCACGAAGGUUGGCUAAUCCUGGUCGGACAUCAGGAGGUUAGUGCAAUGGCAUAAGCCAGCUUGACUGCGAGCGUGACGGCGCGAGCAGGUGCGAAAGCAGGUCAUAGUGAUCCGGUGGUUCUGAAUGGAAGGGCCAUCGCUCAACGGAUAAAAGGUACUCCGGGGAUAACAGGCUGAUACCGCCCAAGAGUUCAUAUCGACGGCGGUGUUUGGCACCUCGAUGUCGGCUCAUCACAUCCUGGGGCUGAAGUAGGUCCCAAGGGUAUGGCUGUUCGCCAUUUAAAGUGGUACGCGAGCUGGGUUUAGAACGUCGUGAGACAGUUCGGUCCCUAUCUGCCGUGGGCGCUGGAGAACUGAGGGGGGCUGCUCCUAGUACGAGAGGACCGGAGUGGACGCAUCACUGGUGUUCGGGUUGUCAUGCCAAUGGCACUGCCCGGUAGCUAAAUGCGGAAGAGAUAAGUGCUGAAAGCAUCUAAGCACGAAACUUGCCCCGAGAUGAGUUCUCCCUGAGACUUUAGGUCUCCUGAAGGAACGUUGAAGACGACGACGUUGAUAGGCCGGGUGUGUAAGCGCAGCGAUGCGUUGAGCUAACCGGUACUAAUGAACCGUGAGGCUUAACCUUACAACGCCGAAG
RNAcentral lists this ribosomal RNA (3028 nucleotides) under Salmonella enterica. RNAcentral describes it as "bacterial LSU rRNA". It matches the Rfam family "Bacterial large subunit ribosomal RNA". RNAcentral also lists the same sequence under 3 other names. The record is from RNAcentral. Lineage: Bacteria; Pseudomonadati; Pseudomonadota; Gammaproteobacteria; Enterobacterales; Enterobacteriaceae.